GUCAUUGCCCUGUAAAUUUAGCAGACAUCAGUAAUAUAAACACUACCAUCCUGUUCGAUCACAACAUAAAAAAAAGGUCGUACCCAGUGCACAAGGCUCCCGCUUAACGCAGGGUCUGGGAGAGGUGAAUGUCGGCUAGCCUUACCCCCAUUUAUGGAGAGGCUGUUCGAUCACAACAUAGAGAUUGUGAAAUAUGUAAGAAUCCGAUACAAGGCCAUCAUCCCCCAGUUUGCAGAAUCAUUUCAAAGAAAUGAAACGGUUACAGCUAAAAGCUCAAAUCGACCCUCCAGUUCAUUACGGAAGGCCAUCCAAAAGCAAUGCAGCAUAGGAAAGCUCAAAAGUACAUCAAUUCAACUACGAUUGGUAAACGGAGUAGCAUUCAUUUGAAAGGGGGUAUAAACUAACUAAUGCUCUGAACAGAAGCAAAUUCAUCAUAACCAUUUUCAGUGGAUAUUCCCUUUAAAAGUUACUUGUCAGAAUGUGUUCAUUGUCUAAGAAAUCAAUCACCAGCAUUAAUACACCGAUACUAUAGUUGCACUUUGACUGCACAAUAAUAAG
RNAcentral lists this long non-coding RNA (558 nucleotides) under Malus domestica (apple). Its description in RNAcentral is "long non-coding RNA (MDOM_LNC010969)". The record is from RNAcentral. Lineage: Eukaryota; Viridiplantae; Streptophyta; Magnoliopsida; Rosales; Rosaceae.